RNAcentral lists this ribosomal RNA (1462 nucleotides) under uncultured prokaryote. Its description in RNAcentral is "partial 16S ribosomal RNA". It matches the Rfam family "Bacterial small subunit ribosomal RNA". The record is from RNAcentral.
AGAGUUUGAUCCUGGCUCAGAACGAACGCUGGCGGCAUGCCUAACACAUGCAAGUCGAACGGGAGCCCGGCUUCGGCCGGUCACUCUAGUGGCGGACGGGUGAGUAACGCGUGGGAACCUACCCUAAAGUGAGGAAUAACUACUGGAAACGGUAGCUAAUACCGCAUACGCCCUUUGGGGGAAAGGCUUCGGCCGCUCCUGAUGGGCCCGCGUCGGAUUAGCUUGUUGGUAGGGUAACGGCCUACCAAGGUGACGAUCCGUAGCUGGUCUGAGAGGAUGAUCAGCCACACUGGGACUGAGGCACGGCCCAGACUCCUACGGGAGGCAGCAGUGGGGAAUAUUGGACAAUGGGGGAAACCCUGAUCCAGCAAUGCCGCGUGAGUGAAGAAGGCCUUAGGGUUGUAAAACUCUUUCGCCGGUGAAGAUGAUGACUGUAACCGGUAAAGAAGCCCCGGCUAACUCCGUGCCACAGCCGCGGUGAUACGGAGGGGGCUGGCGUUAUUCGGAAUUACUGGGCGUAAAGCGCACGUAGGCGGCGUGUCAAGUUAGAGGUGAAAGCCUAGGGCUCAACCCUGGAAUAGCCUUUAAAACUUUCAUGCUAGAGUACUGGAGAGGGUAGUGGAAUUCCUAGUGUAGAGGUGAAAUUCGUAGAUAUUAGGAAGAAUACCAGUGGCGAAGGCGGCUCACUGGACCGGUACUGACGCUGAGGUGCGAAAGCGUGGGAGCAAACAGGAUUAGAUACCCUGGUAGUCCACGCCGUAAACGAUGAGUGCUAGUUGUCAGGAAGCUUGCUUUUUGGUGACGCAGCUAACGCAUUAAGCACUCCGCCUGGGGAGUACGGUCGCAAGAUUAAAACUCAAAGGAAUUGACGGGGGCCCGCACAAGCGGUGGAGCAUGUGGUUUAAUUCGAAGCAACGCGAAGAACCUUACCAGCCCUUGACAUACCUAUCGCGGAUUUCCGAGAGCAGAUCUUCAGUUCGGCUGGACAAGAUACAGGUGCUGCAUGGCUGUCGUCAGCUAGUGUCGUGAGAUGUUGUGUUAAGUCCCGCAACGAGCGCAACCCUCACCUUUAGUUGCCAGCAGGUUAAGCUGGGCACUCUAGAGGAACUGCCGGUGACAAGCCGGAGGAAGGUGGGGAUGACGUCAAGUCCUCAUGGCCCUUACGGGCUGGGCUACACACGUGCUACAAUGGCGGUGCAGUGGGCAGCGACCUCGCGAGGGGAAGCUAAUCUCUAAAAGCCGUCUCAGUUCGGAUUGCAGUCUGCAACUCGAGAGCAUGAAGUUGGAAUCGCUAGUAAUCGUGGAUCAGCAUGCCACGGUGAAUACGUUCCCGGGCCUUGUACACACCGCCCGUCACACCAUGGGAGUUGGUUUUACCCGAAGACGGUGGGCUAACCUUUUCGAAGGAAGCAGCCGGCCACGGUAGGGUCAGCGACUGGGGUGAAGUCGUAACAAGGUAACC